AGGGAAUCUUCCGCAAUGGACGAAAGUCUGACGGAGCAACGCCGCGUGAGUGAAGAAGGCCUUCGGGUCGUAAAACUCUGUUGCCGGGGAAGAACAAGUGCCGUUCGAACAGGGCGGCGCCUUGACGGUACCCGGCCAGAAAGCCACGGCUAACUACGUGCCAGCAGCCGCGGUACUACGUAGGUGGCAAGCGUUGUCCGGAAUUAUUGGGCGUAAAGCGCGCGCAGGCGGUUUCUGAAGUAUGAUGUGAAAGCUUGCGGCUCAACCGCAAGCGGUCAUUGGAAACUGGGAGGCUUGAGUGCAGAAGAGGAGAGUGGAAUUCCACGUGUAGCGGUGAAAUGCGUAGAGAUGUGGAGGAACACCAGUGGCGAAGGCGGCUCUCUGGUCUGUAACUGACGCUGAGGCGCGAAAGCGUGGGGAGCAAAC
Molecule: ribosomal RNA, 426 nt
Filed under: uncultured bacterium
Lineage: Bacteria
Description: bacterial SSU rRNA
Rfam family: Bacterial small subunit ribosomal RNA
Source: RNAcentral